GUAGUUAGCCGGGGCUUCCUUACAGAUUACCGUCACUUCCUUCGUCAUCUGCAACAGAGGUUUACAAUCCGAAAACCUUCUUCCCUCACGCGGCGUUGCUGGGUCAGGCUUGCGCCCAUUGCCCAAUAUUCCCCACUGCUGCCUCCCGUAGGAGUCUGGACCGUGUCUCAGUUCCAGUGUGGCCGAUCAGCCUCUCAGCUCGGCUACCCAUCGUCGGCUAGGUGGGCCGUUACCCCGCCUACUACCUAAUGGGACGCGAACCCCUCCUAAAGCGGAUUGCUCCUUUGACCCCUUCGCCAUGUGGCAUUGUGGUCUUAUGCGGUAUUAGCACUUGUUUCCAGGUGUUAUCCCCCUCUUUAGGUCAGGUUGUUCACGCGUUACUCACCCGUGCGCCACUAAAGAUACCUCGUAUUGCUACUCAGUAUCCUCCGUUCGACUUGCAUGUGUUAGGCACGCCGCCAGCGUUCGUCCUGAGCCAUAAUCAAACUCUGA
RNAcentral lists this ribosomal RNA (492 nucleotides) under uncultured bacterium. Its description in RNAcentral is "partial 16S ribosomal RNA". The record is from RNAcentral.